RNAcentral lists this long non-coding RNA (711 nucleotides) under Equus caballus (horse). RNAcentral describes it as "lncRNA (ENSECAG00000058940.1)". Lineage: Eukaryota; Metazoa; Chordata; Mammalia; Perissodactyla; Equidae. The record is from RNAcentral.
UUGAAAUGUGGAUGAAAUUAAGCUAUGUAUUACCUGGAACUCCUAUUGAGAGAUGAUGUUAAAGACAAUGAAAAGUUAGACCAAAGGAAAGAGCAUGAGGAGGCAUUUAUAAAGGAGAUUGGAAACAAAUGACAGCCAGGCUUCCUGGAUGAAUUUUGCUGACCACUUGGGAUCCUGCCUAAAGGAAAGCCUUGGGAAACUAAUUUACAACUGUGUAUAAAGUGAGAGAACUCCACAGAGAUUUGCCUUUGAAGAUUUUCUAGUUGCAUGUGACCAAGAUUUGCUGUAAUAGACUACUCUUUGUUAUAUGAACUAACAAAUGAGUAUUGAGUCGGCCAGAUAGAACAGGUCUCUGAAAACUGAGACUACCUAGGAAAUGAAGAAAAAAUAUCUUAGUGUCUUCAACAUCAUUCUAUUGGCAGAAAUAAGACUCAUUUUCUGGAGAGAAUUUUAAAUGGGCCCUAUUCCUCUUUGAAACAUUUGAACAGACAUAAAACACAAUUCAUCAAUUUUCCUAUCAGAUCCUUUUAUUGCAGCAGAAAAUUGUUCCAAAUAAAUUCUCGUGAUAAAGCUUGUAAUAGUGAAUACAAUAGAAUGCUGAAAGUAUUGUGUGAACAGAAAUAAUAAAUAUGGUAUCCAAACCCAUUGUAAGUUUCAGUAAAUCAUAUCCAUCAACUCAUUUCUCUUGAAUAAAAGAGAACUGUGAUUUUA